GACGAACGCUGGCGGCGUGCUUAACACAUGCAAGUCGUACGGUAAGGCCCUUUCGGGGGUACACGAGUGGCGAACGGGUGAGUAACACGUGAGUAACCUGCCCACAACUUUUGGAUAACGCUAGGAAACUGGUGCUAAUACUGGAUAUGUGCUCCUGCUGCAUGGAGGGGGUUGGAACGCUACGGCGGUUGUGGAUGGACUCGCGGCCUAUCAGCUUGGUGGUGGGGUAGUGGCCUACCAAGGCGGCGACGGGUAGCCGGCCUGAGAGGGUGACCGGCCACAUUGGGACUGGGAUACGGCCCAGACUCCUACGGGAGGCAGCAGUGGGGAAUAUUGCACAAUGGGCGCAAGCCUGAUGCAGAAACGCCGCGUGCGGGAUGACGGCCUUCGGGUUGUAAACCGCUUUCAGCAGGGACGAAGCUUUUUGUGACGGUACCUGCAGAAGAAGCACCGGCUAACUACGUG
This 465-nucleotide ribosomal RNA is filed under the name uncultured bacterium. RNAcentral describes it as "partial 16S ribosomal RNA". It matches the Rfam family "Bacterial small subunit ribosomal RNA", at positions 28 to 507 of the family's 1533-position model. The record is from RNAcentral.